GGCGAGAAUGAAUUGGACCGAUAUUUUUCGUUCACUGCCGUCAACGGUUCCAAAGGCAUCGCAGGCACCUACCGGGUCUUGCAUUGUUCCCAAAAUAUCCAGAGCAAGUGACCCGGCACCAAAAACACGAAAAAAAAAUUACAAUUGCCCUGCCAAGAUCACAUUCAACCUUAAGAUGAUAUGUUUGUGCAAUGAUUAGCAAUCAGAUUGGUGUGACACUGCUAAACAAGUUCUUGUUUAUGGUUGCCUUAAGCAUUCACAUGCCUUUGAACGAAAGAACAUACGCCUCUCAAAAGUGAUGAAAAAUGAAACUAUGGAGCUCCUCAAAUUUGGGAUUCGUUCAGAUGUUGUUAUUGACAAAUAUUUGUCAAGUAAUGAUAUGGACAAGGAUAGCAAACCUGUCACUUACGCCGAUGUUCAUCGCAUUAAAAAGUCCAGCAACUUGGAGGGUUACGACGAAAAUGCUUCUGAAGUCAAAAAUGUGUUAUCAUUGAUGAGCGACGAAGGUUUUCGCGGUUUCAACUUUGGGCGGAAGUUUGUCAUGUCAUUAACUCCGGGAGACGUCGAAGCUAAAAUUACCGAAACAUUUGGAUAUUUCCUCCUGACUUACGCCAGCCCAGAAAUGAUCAAGCGUUUCCAUGAUCAUCCUACUGCCAUUUCAAUCGAUGGAACUCAUGCAACGAAUGUGGUCAACUUCAUCUUGAUCUCAAUCAUAAUAUUUGAUUGUCGUGGAGAGGGAAGCCCUGUCUUUCAGGCCUUGGUCGAAAAUGAGAACCAGGUGUUUUUUUCCGUUACGCUGAAGAUCGUCCAACAUAUCGCCCCAACAGCUUGUAUGAAUGUCAAAACACUUCUCAGCGACACCAGCCGCACAUUCGUAAACUCCUGGAGAGAGGUGAUCAACCCAAAUGUGCUUUGGAGUGUUUGCCAUUGGCACCUCGAAAAGAACUGGACCAAGAGGAUUAAAAACCCGGAGAUGUUACAAGACAUUAAAGGUCUUCGGCAUUUGGCCGAGGUUCGUCCUUUUACUCAAAACAUGCUGCACAUUCGAUCAAAAUAGGAAGCUUCUGAAGAAAGUACGUGGGCUUACUUUGUAACGAACUAUGGGCCACCCUGGGAACCCCAUCUCACAAGCUACAUGUUGAGCGGUACCACCGAACCAUCAAAGGGGUGUUAAAACCCAGUAUAAACAUUGCCCGCUUUUGCAUUGGACUGAAGCAUGUAAACAAGAUCUUCGUCCGGAAAGAUCUCGUUGCAAAAGAGGGGAUGCGGGGUGUUGGCCAAUCCAAGAUUUAGUCUGAUCUGAACAAGGAUCAUCCAUCUGAAGAUGAAAUGGCCAGAUAUUCACUCGAACGAAUUGAUGACAGAUCUGUCAACGUCAUCAAGCAAGAAGACCCCAAUGGCGAGAAAACAAGCUACUUGAUGAAGAAAAAAUCGCUUUCCGUGCAAUUCUGAGUUGUGCCAGGUUCGCUGUAGAGGCUGCAACAACGCCCAGAUGUGUGUACACAAGUAUACUUGUAUCUGCCGACGAUAUGCCUACAGAAACUUGUGCAAGCACGUGCACAUUUUAGAUUAUUGGAACCAAACAAAGUACAGCAAGAUGGCACUCGGGAAAGGAAUACCGAAGCAAUAGGUCCUGACGUCUGCAAUCUCUUGACCAACGAGAAUGAUCAACCAAUUCAAGUUACCAGCGUUGACGAAAGCAUUGACUUGAAGAUGUCAAAGUUUCUCGGUGAUUGUUCAAAGUCAAGGAAAAAGUGGAAGAAAUUGAAGUCAUGUUGAUGUCCGAUGAUUUGACCUUCGAGGAAAAGAGGACUCUGAUGGAAAAUUUCCGAUCGCCUUUCGACGGUUCUUUUCCUCCAAUAUUAUUUGUCUCUUUGGUCGUGUUAAUUGCGGAUUAUAACAAUUUGUUCCAAUUCCUCAACACUACGAACGUCAAUCCCUCUUCAUUCCCUCGACUAAGUCGAAAACGUAUUCACAAGCCUCAAAGUCGAGUUUUUUUCCCGGUAAAAACAGCCAAACCAGCAGGUCGCUCUUCCAAAGCAUCACCCAGCACAUCCAACGAGGCCAUCUCUUCUAAUUAAAUGUUCCCUCUUUUUAAGCUUCCUCUUCCUUGA
Tigriopus californicus is the source of this 2114-nucleotide RNA transcript. RefSeq lists it as uncharacterized. The record is from RefSeq and is a predicted model, not a curated record. NCBI's taxonomy places the organism in Eukaryota, Metazoa, Arthropoda, Copepoda, Harpacticoida, Harpacticidae. The transcript is spliced from 7 exons.